Molecule: long non-coding RNA, 32165 nt
Filed under: Setaria viridis
Lineage: Eukaryota; Viridiplantae; Streptophyta; Magnoliopsida; Poales; Poaceae
Description: long non-coding RNA (SVIR_LNC002476)
Source: RNAcentral
UUUUUUUUUUCCGUCUGCCCUUCUUUUAGAAAGGAGAGAAUCGUUUCUCCUUUUUUUUUUCCCCCUUUCUCCAUUCCAGUUUCCGAAUUGUUUUCGUGAUGCGUGGAAUGGAAGUAUGGGACGAACAAAAUCCUCCGAAAACAAGGCAACCUCAUCCGCCGGCACCGGUUCCAACAAGGGGCGGCAUGGCAUGGCAUGGAUUGGCAACCACCACCACGCCCGCUGCAGCAACACGCGCGUCAGCGCCAUCUUCCCUCAUCACGCCGGUGCCGUAGCCCACGCCGCGCGCAUCUCGCCUCGCGCGGCAGGCCGUGCGCGGAUGCUGCGAGCGCGGGCGGGCGCGUGGCCGAAACCGCGGCACGUACGCCGCGUCGGGUGGUCGCGGGGAUUUGAUCUCCCAGCACAUCUUCCGCGCGUACUACGCAACGCGCAUCUGGUCAGUCUGUUAGGCAUAGGACACUGAUCGCAGUUUCAUUUCAGCACAUAUCCUGGCACACGAAAAAUCUUCCGGGAUUUAUGUUCUUGCUACCUGUCAGGCUGUCAGCUAUCGGUCCCGCGUAACCUUGACGCCUCGCGUUUUUAGCCUGAAUCCGAUACCCCUCUCCAACAAACUGUCAAAAAGAAAAAAACAAAGGAAUUUGUAUGCAGCGUACUAGUUUCGAGGUCCAGGUGCAAGUACACCAGGACCAGGGAAACCUUUGAUCUCCAGUAGCUGCAGGCGGAUCGGGCACAAAGAUCUUCCCUAGUCGGAACAAGGAUCGUGUGGCCGCGACGCCGCGACCUCGCAUCGCCUCUGGGCGCUCCUCUGGUUGCACCUCAUCUGUGAAUUGACAGCUGACCAGAAGAAAAUCAUGUGGCCUGACAUGGCCCUGAAUGGUGAGUGGUGACCAAGACCAACUAAUCACACAUCCAGCUUGCUGACCAAGACCAACUCAUCACACAUCCAGCUUGCUUGAGACUGCGACUCUGCGAGCGCGCACCCUGACCACAAGCGCACCGGAUUGCAAAAAUCGGACCUGGGCUGGAACCAUUGGGAGCUAUUCUUUUCCAAGUCAAGAUUUACCACUGGGAGAGUUCCUUCCAUCUCAACCAAGUUUCUGCGCCACGGCGUGUGAGAUUCAGACCACAAAAUAUUUGACACUAAAAAUGGCUCGUAGCAGGAAAACACAUGAGCGCAGGGACCCAAAUUAAACGUUCUCGCCGCUCACGUUUCUGCGGCGACCUGCACUUGCGCUUGGACAGUUUGACAAAUUUAAUGCCUCGCGUUGCAGAUUUUGCAGUACGCUUAAAAUUCAGAAGAAGAUGAAAAAAAAAAUCACCUGCCACUCAAAGUAGUGAGUGGUUCCAGACGAGCCGGAAACGUGCGGCGGAGGGGGCACUGCACACGGCAGCCGGAGUCGCCGUCGCGGCGGGCCGAGUCGUGCGUGAUCAAAUUCUUGGAGCACGACGCGCGCUUGUUGUGGAUGCCAGCGGCCCAGGACUCCCCGGGGAUAGCGAAAAAGAUAGCUCAUUGCUCCACUCCACAGGAACAAGCCAACCCAGCAGUUGGUGUGCACCUUCCUGCUUUCCUGGGGGCAAUGGUCGUGGGCUCGUGGCCAUGGAUGCUCCAGCCGGCGACAUUAACCCCUCGCUUUGCUUUGCUGGGUUCCCUUCCUAUCCUGAUGGGGUGAUUGCGUAGCUUUCUGAAUUCAUGAUAGGUCCAUCAUUGUUAAAGGUUGUGGAUAUGGAUUGAGUCUAGAUUGACGAUGAGAACAGGGCAUUCAAAACAUCGUAACACGGGAGUGAAGGAUCAGGCCAGAUACACGCAGGUCCUUCAGAAGCAUGCAGUCGAUUUGAAAGGAGAACUAAUGCAACCAACAAAUACAGAUACAAGUGCCCCUUACAAGUUACAAGGAGCAGUUAACAGACUUCCUCGUACAAUUUCACGGGAGAUCGCCACCGUUGGAUUUAGAUUUCCAGUGUUGAGGAAUCGUCAAGGGCACCAGCACAUCCGGUAUUCCAGGAUCUCAAGGCGAGAUCAUCACUGAGUAAGGCCAAGUGGCCAACACAAUGCACAGCCACAAAAGGAGUUGCCACUAGGUCCAUAUUACCCAAAAGCUGGACUCGCAAUAAAUUCAAGGAGCGUUGGAGCGUCACCUUCCUUAUCUGCAUAGUUUAUCAUCAAGGUUAUUUCUUUUAGCGAAUUACUGGUAGAAAUGAAGUGUUAGGCAAAUAAUAUGGUGUAACGGGUGAAUGAUGAAAUAAUCAGUAGCGCAUGGCGCUUUAAUCAUUGAAUCUGAAACAAAAUACAAAAUAGCAUUAACGAGCAGAAAGAUAAGUGCAAGCACCUUUUAGUUGAGCGUCUAACUGGAGCACUGUCUGCUGAGUCCUCUACGACAGGAUCUCUGGUUUUCUUUGCCCUUGAUCUUGACAAGCCUGCAUAAUACAUGAAAGAUAAGUUCCUUAAGAUGCUUGAUUUGUUGUGUCGAUAUCAAAGCUGGAACCAUGGGUCACCUUUGCGGACAGGUUGCUUUGACUGAAUCUCUUCGCCACCAUCUUCUGAUCCUGUAGAUGUUGAUGUCUGACAAUUUUCCGUAGAAAUAUUGCCACUGCAUUCUGGCAUGUUCUCCUUAUCUUCAGUGCUGCCAUCCACUGAAGGAUCAACUACCUCACUAGUUUCUUCUGUCAAGGGCAGAAAAACAGACAGGUGAGAACAUUGUGCAAGGCAAAACUGUAAUACCAUCUAGUGCGCAGAUCUAUAUAGUCCUUAACCAUAGAAGAAUAAAAAGUUUGUUUACAAUCAUCACAUGAUGGACACAUGGAACAACCACGUGGAAAUUAAUCAACUUAUGCAGUUAUGUAUCAUAGAGGAUAAGGAGAUUCAGAAAUAAGUGAACACUCUUCUGUUACCUUCAACAGAAUGUCCACAACUCUGCCCAACUUCCUUACUAGCCAGAACUUCGUCAAGCGAGCCAAUUCUCUGUCUGUGUGCCUCAGCAUUUUUGGUUGUCUCUUCCUGUUCUUUCUUUUCCUGAUGAACCUUGCUAAGUUUCUCCUCAAAUUCCUCGAUGCAAACUUUGAGCUCAGGUUUCGCAAACUUCUUGCACUGAUUAGAGGAUCACCAUAGAUAAGUGGGUGGGAAAUGUUCAAAAAUGUUUGUCAUGCUUCAUUUAGCAAAUGUCAGGCCUACACAACCAUUAAGGCUAUGCUACCAACCUUUGAUAUCACGCUUCUGAAGUGGUUCAUCACAGAAUCUUCAGAUAAUGCAUACUCAAACAUCUUAAAAUUGUCGAUGAGUUUCUUCAGACCCUUUUCAGUGAAGGUUAGCUGAGAGAGGCAAUAAGAGAUAUACUCCCACUGUCUAACAUCUGAAGCACAUGCAAAGAAAGUGUCAGACAUCUGAGAAUGGGGUAAGAGGCCAACUGUCUCAAGAAGACCAAGGAUUAAAUGACAAAGAAGCAAACUUUUCAAUGUAGCUAAAUUGUCAGCAACCACAAGUGCAAGAGUCAAAAGUGGAAAUACCAAAUCACAAUUAUAUGUGCUCUCUUUUUCCUUAUAAUUUUCAUUUCCCCUUAUAUGAUGCGGUGACGCUGCCCCCUAUGCUGAUACAUGCAACGUUGACCACCUUUUUCUUUCACGAUUAUUUAUCACUUUAUAAGUGCAAAGGUGGGCUCUUUCUCGUGUUGAACACACACAAACACAAUGAGCAGGAAGACCACACACAGUUCUUGCAGCACUGCCCAUCAGCACCCUCUUGCUUUUGCGGCACUGCACACUAAUACCCUCUUGUGUGUUUACAAUGAUUUUAACAACAAAAAACACGCACACAAUAUGCUGGAAUUCAUCCGCACGACUCGGCCAAAACAUCCAGGAUCACCUCCCUCUAGUAACAAGAUUAACGCCAACAUUACCUCACCAAGUAUCAUUGUCCACUUAGCUAGGUACCAGACCAACUAAAAAGAAAAGCACAACUUCCUUAGUAUGAAUGGUGGUAAAAAAAGUGACAGGUACUAGCAACAGAUGGGGUUUUAUUUAUCACAUAAUUUCUUAGACGGCAGUGGUUGAUCAAUAUAUUUCUAUUGAAGCCAUAAGCAUAAUACCAUUUACACCAGCAAACCUAUUGCAGAGCUUAUCCACAAGAGCUUCCAUUUGUUUUUCCUGGGACCACAGUGACAAAAGUAUAUAGUUAUUGGCAAGUGAAUAUCAAGUUCACUGACAGUUUAUAACAAGUGAAACAGUAAUACAUUAUACCUUUUUAAUAGAGCUAAUUAAGAACUGCAUAAUGUUGCGAAAUGUUUCGUCUUUGAGGUGUUGAUUGCACAGUCUGCCCAGGAUAUCCGGAAGAAGAUUAUAAAUUGGAUUGCUUCCUUCGGAGGUCAACAUUCACCAACAGGGGAAAGGCAAAUGUUAGAUAGAAGUCAAACUCUGGUAUUCAAGUUCAUCAUUCAAUGUUGCUGACACAUGUUAUCAUACCUUUCUUUGACAACUCAUGAAAGAAGAGUUUUGCAAGGCUUGAGAUCCUCUCAUUUUCAUCUUCUAUCCUUACAGCCAUUUCAUUUAUAUAACCUUUAACCUGCCAAAGAUUUCAAAAGCGUCUGAAAAGUAAUAGAAUGAUGGUAGGGAAGGUGCUUGUGUGUGCAUGAGAGGGCGGGAGGGAGGUGGGCGGGAUGUUGACCUUCAUCAUAUCAUUCAGUAUAAGAUGAGAAAUAACCAGCACUGCAUUCUUCCUGACAGAUGCUGAAGGGUCACGCAAUCGGGCAUAUAUAUACUCUGUCCAAGGUUCCAAGAGGUUUGGGAAGCGAACUGCUAAAUCACCAAGAGCUAUAGUGCAAUUGGAUCGGACAAUUUCAGAAGGUGCACUUUCAGCAACAGUAAACAGAAUUUGAAGAUUUGCUUCGCUGAAAAUUGGGCAUUUGAUGUGAGGGAGUGCUUUUAUGAAAUGCACAUCAGUUCACAAUAUUGAACAGGUAGAGCCGUGUGAAAGAAAAAUUACUUACCAGAAUUCUGGAUCAAUGAUCAUUAGCCUGCAAAGAGCAAGCAUGGCAGAAGCUUGUAACUCUGGGAACUGCAUCAGAAAAAGGAAGAAAUUAGUAGGUGCAGAUAGUAAUGGAAACAAAUGUUAAAGAAAAACAGGAAACCCAACAGACUAACCUUUUGCAGCAAAGUCAGAUUCCUGCAGAGUUUUGACAGAAAUGGUCCACAAUGUCCUAUAAGAUUCUUUUCUGAAGAACAGCAAACAAUCUCCUUUUCCGCCCUUUCAGCAAGGGAUUCAAUUGCGAUAUCUAUUGUUGCACCCAGUCCCAGUUCGGCAUUUAUGCCUUGUGCCUGUUGCACAAUAGAGCACAACCAGUGAACUUAAAUGAAACAAUGACAGGUCAAAAUUGACAAGGUAAGAAAGGAUAGAGAUUUAGCAGUCAACAAGAAUUACCUCCGAACUUUUAGAUGCAUCCAACUGAGGAUCCUCACUGAUGGGUUGAGAAUUCUCAUUCUUUCGCUUCUGUUUCUGAAUUUUUCUAACAGAAGUUUCGAUGUACACCAAAUGAUUCAGUGCAAUAUGGCUAAUAACAAAAAGAAACCUACCCAGUUUUGAAGGUGGUAGUGAUGACAGAAAGGCAUCAUUCUGAGUUUCAUCUCCAUUUGACACAUCCUCAGUUCUUAAAACACUGAAUACUGAACUGAGGGACUUCUUUGCAAUCUCAGUAGCAAAGAUUUCAGGUGCAGGGUGUAAGGUAUAGAUGGUGCUUAUAGCUUUAUCUGCAGCUCCAUACCAUAUUUUCUCAGGUAGCGAGAAGCUUGUUGUCAAACUUAUCAGCGCAGCAAAUACUCUACUAUUAGUACUUAUCAGUUUGCUUCUGUCUUCUUCUGACAAUCUCUGCAGAGCAAGACAUGCAGUUCUAGCAAGCAGAGGCUCCUCCUUAGCCCAGCGUCCAAACCCAAUGUCAAUAAUAUCUUGCAAGUGAGUACCCAAAAUGCUGGGAGACGACUUUGCUGCCAUACAAAGAAUUGAUAAAGCCCCACGGCUUUGCACUGGUUUCACUCCACUGAUGUUAAAGCAAAAAUAGUCCCACAGUGCCGAUACCUGUAAGGGGUGAUGAGUCUUAAAAAAUAUCCUCCUCACCAGCAACAUAAGAGAAACAUUGAAGUGAAAUAAUAGAAUUCAACAAAACCGUUAUAUUUGGAAAGCUAAGCUUUAGAUUCAGAUGAAUACAGUGAUCGGAGAAAUAAAGACAAUGUAGACACAAAAAAAUCAAUUCCUUCUGCCAGUACAAUGACCUAGGACUUUGAAGACAAAAUAACUUGCAUCAGAGUGUAGAGAAGAUGGUGGCAAAUUUAUCACGAAAUAUCUUAUUUGCUCCAUGUUUCGAAAACAUUGGUGCUCAAUUAACUCAGUUUAUUGCCUCAUUUUUUCUUCACUAGUGAAUUAUAAAUUGAUAGUAGAACUGACUAGUUAGUUUAACAUGACUAGAUUCGUCAAAGUGGUAGCGAAAACAAAUUGGAAAGGAAAGAAGACUGCACCGUGCUAGAUGAAAUUUCUGCUUUUGAAACUAACGAGUUAACUAGGCACUCAAGAGCAGCCAGGUCACCAAUGCUGCAAUCAAUGGCUAGGUUUAACAAACUUUUCGCCGUUUCUGUUGCACUUUUCCUUGUGUAUAUAGUAAUGAAUGCACUCUCCACUGCUUCAUAUAUUGACUUAUCCUGAGAAAAUACCUGCAGAAGUCAAAGGGUCAACAAAAUGUUAGCAAAUAUAAGAGAAAAAAGACAGUUUUGGGGAUAUUACCAGAGGUAACAUUUUCCUGAGUGCUGCUUCUGAUCCUUCGAUCUGAAAUUGUCUGCAUCUCAUUAGUAAUAGAAUGGUGUUCUCAACAUCAGUAGCUGAAGAUGAUGCCAACAGCUGAACAAGAGUUGGCAUUAAGGAAGUUAUACACUUUGAAAACCGCAGACCAGCUUCAAGUGAUGCAACUAAAGCUCUGAUCUGUUCAAGGUUUGUUAUUUCCACAAUCGUGGGAUCAGGAUUGUUCUGAUCCUGACUAUUAGCUACACAGCUAUCACUGACACUAUCGGGUUGGCCCAUGACCACUUCACCGGGCGAACUAUCAUCCACAACCUCAUCUUGGUCUGGAUUUGGAGGAUCCAUUCCUUCUAAUUUUUCCUUGUACUUUUCUAGAGUUGCCUCAAAGGUUGAAGUCCUUAACUGAGGUCCAAAAGGGUUGUGUUGCAGCAUGGUGAUGAGAAGUUGUAGCGCUGAUUUUCUUACAAUAGCACUUUUGUCCUCCAAUCUCCCCGAAGCAACUGAAGCCACUUCAUUCCACAGGCCAAUUGAGAUAGAGUUUUCUUCACACAGCUCUGCCCACACCUGAAGCACACGACUCCUUGUGUAUGCUGACACAUCCCUACAGCGCUCAAUCAAAAUUUCUAGCAUAGCCUGCUUACUUCUGAGCCGAGCAGUGUUAUCACCCUCAACAUCUUUGAAAGCCUUUGCAGCCAGCUUUCCCAAGACUCCAACAAGAGCAUUUCUGAUCUUAUAUGAGUCACCACCAAAGUGAGGCACCAGAACACCGAUAUUGGUUGACAUAAGCUUCGGCAAGCGGUCUGCUAGUUCUACAAGGAAUCUCCCAACAUUAUCAGCACCAACACUAUCCCUUACAUAAUCUUUUGGAUCAGUCCGACCUAUUUCCCUAAUCAGGGAAAUUGCAAGGCUUCCAUCACCAAACUUUUUCUCUGCAGAAGCAACUGUUUCCGCAAGAUGAGCAACUGUGAAAUCGAACUUGUGGAUCAAAUGCAAGACAGAUGCACUGAUUUGAGAAAUCCUCUGAUGCUUUGUGGCAAUUGCUCCAAUUAUCCUGCACAGGCCAUUUCUUGUAUCCUCAUCUUUUAACCCAUUUUGAUUCUCAUAGAGAACAAAAGUACACCUACAUGUUAUCAAGAAAGAAAUGACAUUACAAUAGGUAGGUUACUGGAAAGCACCACACUACCAUAGCCAGUUUCCAGAACUUACUUUGAAACAAAAGAGAGAUAUCGUUCAUCCGUUCCUCCGGGGCCAAAAAGUAGUGAUAGGUCAGCUUCAAGAGAAUUAGCUAUUAGAUUCAUGAUCCUGCCUCUUUGAGCUUCCCAGUUCCAAGUAUAUACAGGAUUCUUCUUUCGACCAUGUGCUGUUACCUAGAUUCUCAUGGAAGAAUAAAAUCACUUAAAAUACAUGAAUACGUAUAAUCUGGAUAAUCUGUAACUUCCGCACAAAAAUCACCUUAGCCCCUGUGCAGCUUUCAGCAGCAGAUUCCUCCGUGAGAACGAUGGAAAGGAGAAAGAAGGAGUAGAUCUUGAGGGCAUUACGGUGCGAGGCAAUGCGAUCAGUGAUUGGGGUAGCAUCAGAAGGCGAUGACAUGGACGCACGAGAAAGUGAGUCUAUGUUGGGUAGAAGGACACUAAGGUUGGAGCGCAAGGUCUCAACGAGGUUAAACUUAAGGCCUGGAGGCAGACAGUUGAAAUCACGCACAACAGAAUAGAUGCUAUCGAACACCUCCUGUUCCUCAAUGCAGAAGAGCUCCUUGUCAGAGAGAUCAAAUGAUACACCUUCAGUUUGAAUCAGAAUAAGAACAGAGUCAGUUCAUAUUGAUAAGAUUCUUUCAUUCAAAAAACAAGAACACUAAAGCUUGCUAGAUCUGUACACUUAUGGUAGAAGAGAUUUCUAAUCGCAUGCUACCACAAAGUAGACAAGCCAACAUUAUGAAAAGCAAGACUAUGGCAUGGAAAUUAAGGGAUAACGUCCUAUGGCAUUAAACAAUCACUAAUUUUGCAGAGCUGACAAUGGAGAACUAAGAUCUAUGAAUAAUUAAGCUAGCAAGCUUAUGCAGGGCCGUUAAAGCAAAACUCAUAGUAACUUAUGUUAGCUUUUCGCAUCAGAAGACACCUUUUUCCAAAAUCAGAUCAAGUUUCUUAACCCCAGCCAUAUAUAGUAGUACGGUUAAGUAUAAAAGCAACGGUAAGACCACCAAUUUCAAAAUUAAAAUACGAGCAGCUCAAAAGGUUCAGUUCAAGUGGCCGCGUGCUUUAGUCGCAGGCUUAAUUUUUUACAUAUAUGCACCGAUUUGCUUGAGAGAAGGCCUUAGGGAUACCAGCUACAUCCAAAUCACAAGCUCCAAUUAGUACGGCCGACCAACAAAACCCUAUUCCAGUAGAAUUUUCAGCAGGCAACGAUCAAAAUCCGAAUCCAGAAUCCACAUAAUUCCUAAGGACUCGGGCAACCCCCGACCGGAACAGCAAGUGCGCGCGGUUGGGGAAGCGGGGUAGGCGGCGGCACGUUACCCUUGACGAACUCCUCGAGGUCGGCGGCGCGUAGGGUGGCGACGGCGACGGGGUUCUGCGGCCGGAGCGAGGGCUCGUCGUCACCGUCGGUGUCCCGCUCCAGAUCCCGCAGGCUCGAGGGGAACACGAACGGCGGGGCCAUCUCGCCGCGGGCGGGCGGACGCCGGCGAGAGCAGGAGAUGGGGGUCGGGGGAGUGGAGGGGUUUGGGUUGGGGAAUGGGAGCGGAAGAGUUGGGGAGUGUUUCGAAAUCGAGAGCGGGAGGCGAGAAAUUUUGUGAGCGAAUCCCCCGUAUGACAGGGAGGACCCACGCGUCAUAGAUAAAGAUGAAGGUGCCACAUGCCAUGGCCCAUGGGUGGUUUGAAUACACGCCUAGCUAGUAUUGACCGUUAGUCCCCCAGUGACGGUCCACCGAUCAGCAAACAGCUCAUUGAGGUAACGCUAACAUAUUCACACUAGCGAUGCGUUGGGUGGUUGAGUCUAUGCUAAUUCAAGAGUACGUGAAUAUACAACGUGACAAGGCUUUGUGUUCGCCAACUUACCGUUUUUCAUCUUACUAUCCUCUCGAUCAAGCAAGGAUAGUUGGUCAGCAGCAUGUUAAUGUUUUGUUUUAGGUUUUCGCAUCCUCAAGUGUUAAGUUUGUUGCGGUGGUUUUGCCAGCAACUAUCUUUGGUCAAUGACUAGUCUAUAUGUGAUGCGGGAAUUACCACUCCUUUUGUAUGGUUACGAUGCUAAUAAGGGAAGAGGGCUAUCAAGGUUAAGCGGAAAAAACCAUCUAUACUUUUUUUUUUGCAGGAAGAGGGAAAGGAUACCAAGAUUAAGUGAAAGUUCCCACCGUCUAUGGAUCUCUUCUCCUGAUUUACUUCCCGCUCAGGAUCAUUUCAUACUUAAAUUUAAUUUAGAGAAUCAUAAAUAAUCACUUCUCACGAUGAAUAAAAAUAGACGGAACUCUGCCAAAUAGGAUCCAUAGUAUGUUCGUCUGGACGUUAGAUACGGGAAUAUACUGAAGAAAUGUUGCGGAUGGUCUCGUCGCGAUCCGACAAAUAAAGGUCGUGCUGAUUUUAAAAAGAUUAACAUAUCCCAUACAUUUGACAGGUGGCCCAUCUAUUUUCAUGACCCAGCAGUCAACUGGGGAUUGAAGUCACUGAAACCUCACACAUAUCACAUAUGACAUAUGUCAACACGCGAUACAUAUACUUUUCUUUUAACCAAUGUGAGCGUGAUAGUACGAACUUACAGUCCAGGAACGGUAUCACACCCGAACAACAUUUCUUUUUUGCACUGAAAGUGGACAGGAUGCUGGCGCGGGGGGUCACUCGGUCACUCUUCAGUCUUCACUGCCUACCAAGGCCAGCAACAUGUCCCUGUAGCCGAAGGAAGUGUCGCCGGCGACGUCGAGGGUUACGGCGCUCUUGUACCUCGCCAUGUACUCCUCCUUGAUCCGCUUCAUGUCGAGCUCCGCCCGCGACACGAUCACCCUGGUGAGCAAGUCCUCGUACGUCCCCACCCCCAAGAUGGAAUACCUGAUCACCUGAAAAACAAGAGCACGACGCCCUGGGUGUCAAUGCCAUCUCGACAGUUCAUCAUCUGCUCGGGUCCCAACUUCUUCGACAUACCUGCGCAAAGUGCUUUUCAGGCGAGGUCAAGCACCAGACGGCGCUCUUCAGCAUCCUGCCGAACUGGCUGCUGCAUCGGCUGUUGAUAUCCUGAAUGGACGAACACGCAGCUGAUUAGCUGAAGAUUCAACUCAGAAUGUUUGGAGUUUUCAGUACUUGCGUCCAGCUCAGUACCUCAGCGAUGUCUCUUCCUUGAUCCUCCUUGUACUGCUGGAACGUCGCUCUGAGCUGAGACUUGCUACGGGUGCUGAUGAUCCGGACGACUUCAUUUCCGUGCAGUUGCUUCUCUCUGAUGGCUUCUGACAGCUGAGCCGCCUCCAGCUUGGCCACAUCCAUGUCGACCUGCUCUCCGGCGUAGCGGUAGGAGCUCACAAGGCUCACCAGCAUCUGCAUGCAGAGGAGAACAUCGACGCUUGAAUCCUAGUCCUUUUUCUGAAUUUCUGGUGAAAGUACCAUGCACCCAUGGAAGGAAUUUACCUUCUUCAGAGGUUCUCGGAGCGCAGGAGAAGAUGCGACAUCUUCCUCGAUGGAGCAACUGAACAGUUUGAGGUAGAUCUUCCUGACGGCCAAGAGAUGGUCUGGGGUGGAUGCGCACGACACUUCGAUCAGCACCAGUAUGUAGUUUUCAUCCUUCUUCUUCACUGCUUCGUGAACCAGGUUUGCGUCUCUUUCAGCCGGAUCCAUCGUCCACAAGAUCAGCGCUUUCUGAACCAUGAAGGAAACAAAAAUAUUGGCACAAAAAGGGGAAAAAACGCAUCGGAAGUUCAGAACACUGCCGGCAUUUGAUCAACCGGACCAGACAAGCAGUCUUACCCAGAAAUCGACGGAGAGGAGGCAGUAGUGUCGGGAGAGCUUGUAGCGGAAGCAGUUGAGCAGGGGCUCCCGGUAGAGGAACGCGUAGGCGCGCCGUAUCGCCGCCCGCUGCGCCGCCGUCCGCCGGCACAGGAUCCCGACCAAAGCAGCCUUGUCCGCCCGCCAUCCUGCAUCGACGGACACGCAAGGAGAGGUCGCCGACGCCGCGUCAGUUGCAAUUGCAAUGCAAAAACGGAAAAAAGAACUGACAAGAAAAAAAAAGCAACCGAAAUAAAAUCCAUGGCCUGGCUGCGAGAAGCUGUGCAUUGCCUUGGAGCGCCUUCCUCAGGCUCUCGGCAUCCUCGGAGGCCGUCGGCGGCGGGCUCGGGACGGCGACGGUGGACAUGGCUCCCGAUCCUUGGGCGGCGAUGUCGGUGAAAUGAAGGUACGCGGCGAACAAGGGGAUCGGAUUUUACAUAUAGUUUUAUACUGGGAACAUAUAACUUUAUUCGCUUAGAAUUAAUAUAUCUUCAAACAACUCACGCAUGAUGCGAUGGCCAAUCGGCGCAUAUCCAUGCACGCUACGUACACGAUUACAUAUCUUCGUGGAACAUGCUUCCUUGCUCAUUAAGUUUUUCCUCACGUCUAAGCUUGUUUUAAGGGUUCAUCUGCUAAGCUUUAGCAAAGUCUUGUAAAGAUAUACUCGUAGGGUCGUAGCAGCAUGGCCGAAAAUCAUAAGUAAUAUACAGGCUACGAGCCUACGGUUGGUACUACGUUUCUUAAAGGGAUCAACAAAAAUAAUGGAGCACAACGCCAUGAAAGCUUUAAAGCGAUCUCGUGGCCUCUCCAUUUCCGUUUUCAACUGAUUUUUUUUUCUUUCUGAACUCUGUAGCAGCAGCAUCCACUAGCCUAAAAAGAAGAAGAAAAAGGGACCCAUUAGGAGGCAUGGCCUCGUGGGCCUUGUUCAGUAAGAUUUGGGCCUGAUCCCUGUAUGUGGGCUAAAAAUGUUUUCCGGCCAGGCCAUGCAAGAAGCUAGAUUUGAUGGCCCGAGAAAAAGGGCCGGAGUUGCACCCGAUAGCAGGUGAGGCCCACUAGGAGGAGAAAAAUCAGGGCCAUGACGUGCGUGAGAUUCUGAGAUAUCUCGUGCUCACGCCGUCGCCGACCUACCACCAUUCACGGUCACGGCCGGCGCCGCAAGCCGCAGCCUGGCGGAGGGGAGUGGAGAAAGUAGGAAUGGGGAAGCGCCGGCGCGCAGCGGCGCCGGUAGGGGAGGAGCUGAUCUCGCCGGUGAACAGCCUGGACGACGGCUGCCUCAUGCACAUCUUCAGUUUCCUUAGCCCAAUUCCAGGUUCGAUUCGCACUUCUAAUCUUACGCUUCCCCCAUCUACCUAGGAGAAACAAUCAAGUGGCUGAUCCGUAACCGCUGGGAAAACACCUUAUUUUCCCUAUUCGUGGUGGAAUUGCCGAAUUCGGGCGGAUGCCGAAGGUGCAGGGUAACGGGUCAAAACUAGAUUUAGACUCUUUCUUUUAACAUGGACAUAGAUUUUUUUUGUGGAAGAUCUGUUGAACUGGAUAGUAAUUUGAUGCGUCAGGGUGAAAAAUCUCUGUAGAUGCUUGUGCUGUUCACUUGAAUCGAUGUAGUAUUAUGCCCCUAGUUGGGUGCAGUUAUGCAAAUAACACUGUGGUUUUGGGUAAUGUAUGAUAGACGUUCCCGUGGUUUAUCGUGUAAUAGUUCACUAAAAAGGGUAAUUUGAGGUGUAUCUCCGUUGUUGUGCAAAUUGGUACGAUUUGGGAACAGUGUAUUUGGUUCUGGCGUACCAUAUAUUUAGAGACUGAGGGAACUUUGAUCUUUGUUCCACUUGACACAUGCUGUCUUAUUGUAAAAUGUAGCUUUGUCUCAGACGAUCUUUUACAAAAAUUGGAGUUUUAGAUGGUUAUUACUUAGUAUAGAACUAGGUGAACAUUAUUGUGGAAUUUUUCUUUGUUCACAACUCAAUUGAUUUCAAGUUUUCAACCAUUCAAAGUUGAUAUGUUUGAACUUUGAAUUUCUCUAGCUUUUAGCUGUGGUGGUCCUUGUAAUAUUUAUUUUCUGUCAUUUAAUUUAAGAUGAACUUCUUUUAGCAAUUUCAUUGUUGAACCUGCAGAUAGGUAUAACACCGCCCUCGUUUGCCACAGAUGGCGCUUCCUUGCAUGCCAUCCUCGGCUAUGGUUGCGUGUUGAGAGGCCAAUCAGAGAUGUGAUGGAGCCUGGAGUUUAUCCAAAUCUUGAGGCUGCCGUUUCUGCUGCUAGGUUUGUUUUUCUCUCUUUGAGUUUUCAUUGUGGAUAGAGGAUCUUAUGGCUGAUUUCCAUGUACCUUGUUGAAGGCCUGGUGACACCAUUCUUGUUGCGGCUGGUGGUACCCAUGUUGCAUGUAACAUCCAAAUAAAGAAGACUAUUUGCAUUGUAAGUUUUGCCUUCCAUGUCCCUGAGCCCUGAAGAUGUCAACAGAGAUUUGAUCUGACGAAUGCUUCCUGCACUGUGCACGAACUUCUUUUUUUGUGGGUGCAAUUGUGAAUCCAUUUUGCUUCCAUCAGAUUGGUGGGGGUGAACUUCCCGAUGAUACUGUAUUAACCUGUUCACGUGGCUCUGACAAGUAAGCUCUUUUCCUCUGUGGCUAUUUUUCUUGUCUACUGUUGCUGCUGCUUCCUAAUCAUUUCAUAGUGGCACUAUGGUGGUCCAUAGAUUUAAUACGGUCAUGUUUCUUAACUUCCAGUAAAUUGCCUGUGAGGUUUCAUCUUUAGUACACCUUAAAAAGGCAAUGCUUAUAAGGUUUCCUGUAAAUUUACAUCGGCAGCAUGGUGGUUUGCUUAUAUUGACACAGCGAUCAGUAUAAUAUAACCGAAUCUAUACAUUCAUGAUUUAUGGGGUGCUGCAGUAGUGGAAAGUAAAAUUUACCAUGAUUUGUUGCUGUAUGCUUGCUGUAAGGAUAUUAAUUCAACUAUAAUGGAACCUUAGCAGUUUUUGUCUGCAUGAUAGUUGAGAGCAUGCAGUUUGUUGAUCUCAUCUUUUCCCAUCAAAUUGAGGUGUUACUGUAAGUUUUGUCUACUUCAGGAAAUGGUGAACUUGCAAAGUGUGAUGUGGUUCUGGUUACUUUCUGUACAAUCUAUCAGUCUUACCUUACCUUUCUUUGAUUGGCCUAUCAAACAGCGCAUUGGAGUUUCUAUCGACAUGCAAGAUUGCAAAUUUGACUAUUAGAGCAGAACUUGGAUGCUGCUUGCUGCAUCGAAGCGGUAGAUUGACCAUUCAAGAGUGUUUGCUGCAGUGUGAGCAAAACCCUCUGGACUAUCUGUCCUUUCCAAUAAUCAGCACAGCAAUAGAGUAUAAUUCAUUUCCUUCCCUCAAGGGGCAAGGACAUGGUGUAACCGUUGUCCGCACCCGGAUUGAAGGGGGUGCGAAGGCUGUCAGGACAAACGGAACACUUGCACUGCAGCAUGUGCGAGCCAUCUAUUCCCGCAGCUCUGUUUUCUUCUGGUUUGAAGUAGGAGAAAAGGUAGAAAAUGCUGUACACUAGUAAUAUGAUGUAUUCUUGUAUCUAUGUCACCCUAGUGUCUGGUAAAGUCACCCUUGUAUUCCUGUUUGUUGUAACUUUUAUGAUAACCGCUGCUUUUGAUUGCAAAGGAACAUCUUGCUGUUUGGAAGUCAAUCUUGAAGAGUUUAGUGGAGUGUACAAAUUCACGGUUGCCAUAGAUAAAAUUUUCCCCAGUUUUUGGAUCGGCCGCUCAGGUUAUUGAUUGGAUGGUUGUAAUGUUUAUGUCUUGCGCGUUGGAUGGCGUUAUUUGAACGAGGACAGGCGGGGGACCAAUCUGGCUUUACCCUGCAAGUUCUACUUAAUGCAUAGCUCUGUUAACUUGUCCUGUUGUGUUGCUGACUGCUGAAGCGAAAAUUCAGAUACCGGUGUACUAGGAUUUACAGUGAAGUUGUGUAGAUCCCUCUGUUUAGGUGCGUUUGGUUCAACUUCUUAUUUUUAGUCCGUGUCACGUUGAAGCUUCGAAGACUAAUUAGGAGGACUAAAUAUGAGUUAAUUAUAAAACUAAUUGCACGGAUGGAGGCUAAACGGCGAGAUGAAUUUAUUAAGCUUAAUUAAUCCAUCAUUAGCAAAUGUUUACUGUAGCAACACAUUGUCAAAUCAUGGAUUAAUUAGACUUAAUAGAUUCGUCUCGCCGUUUAGCCUCCACUUAUGUAAUGGAUUUUAUAAAUAGUUUACGUUUAAUAUUUCUAAUUAGUAUCUAAACAUUCGAUGUGACGGGUGUUAAAAAUAAGCCAAAGUAAUCGCCUUAUUGUACAUGCGAUAUAGCAGAGGAGUUGGGUGAUUCGUUGUUGAUCCGUGGGACAAUGGCUGACAGAACAUUUCAUUUUCUCCUGCCCUGAUACAGUUGCAAUUGAAGUCCAUGUUGAUUAGUUACUGUUGGCCAUAAAUGCAUAAUUGCUCAGGCUGUACACAGGCCUCUGUCCUGUUCUUGGUACGAUGGUCGAUGGGUGGAAGAGGUGCCCCAAAGCUGGUAAAUGUGCGCUGUAAUUUGUCCCUUGUUACCGCUUUGCUGAAAGUUAAGCAAAUGUUAAUUAGCAGAGUAAAAAAAGAAGAGUGAGGUGAAAGGAGGGUGGAUCCGUUCUAGUUAGUCGUGACGUUUAAUAGAGAAACUUGUGGGGAGAUUGACAGUAUCAAUUCAAAACAAGUUGCAACGGUUGUCUCAGGCCACUGGACCAUUGGACAAAUUUACUACUACAUGUUCACGUGUAAAUCUCCGGCAAAACAAUCCGUUCCUGUUGUUUCUUCUUUCUUGGAACGGCAUGCUUGAUUGGGUAAUUCGAAUCCCCGUUGUUGUUUGCUUUUUCAGUCUCUGGAUGUCCACUCUGCUAAAGCUGACUUGUCUUCAGAAUUGCCAAAGCUGAACUUCCACUUUCAGUACCGUCACUGCAAAAGAUGUAAAGCUCUCAGCUUUCAGUUUUUUCUAUUAUAAUCCUAAGUGAAUAUUCUUCAAAAUGUACUAUCGCAAGUGUUUUCAAGACAAUUUCAUUUACCCCGCUCCCCAUUUAUUAAAAUCUAGAAAAUGGAAUAAACGAUUUUACCCUUGAUCUCUGCAUCAAGCAGGUCCACAUACUGUAUUUAUGAAUAAUACUCCAUUUUUAAAAAAAACUUGUCAAUUUAAUUUAAAGCCCUGCUUCCAAACCCCGAGGAGGUAAAAGAAGGCCACCCGUAACUUUCUCUCGCAGAACUCGGGGGAAGUGAGUGAGAGAGAGAGAGAGAGAGAGAGGUGGGGGCAGUCCUUUAAUUCGAACGCCGUUGCCUCCUCUCUCGAGCCCUUCUCCUUGGCGUCACGCCAGAGCCCAGCCGCCGCCCGGAGAUCGAAUCCUCUGCCCUGGCAUCCUGCUCCGAUCGCGGCUCCCCUCUGAGGUGAUGCAUUGUUCUCACUUGGUUUCGUCUUGUUGCUUCUAGUGGGGUUUCGGAGGAAAGGUUGGCGUUUUUAAAUCUUGGGACGUUGCAGUGCUCCUGCGGUUCUUGUUCUUUUUUGCUCAAAAAUGUGAGCGUGAGAUCAGGAGUGCGGGCGCCUAGAGCGCGCGCGGUGGUUGCGGAUUAGGGUUCAGGUUCCUUCUGUUUGGGGAAUUUUUGCCGCUCUGGGACUGAUCGGAGUAUUUUCCUAGUAAUGUCGAGAUGCUGGGUUUAUUGAUUAAAACUGUUUUCCCCCAUUGGUGUUUGUAUGUAUUAGCUUAAAUGUUAAAUGCACCGUAAGCUAUAGUUGGUUACCCGUCAGGCCGUCACAUUUUGGGUUGGGUCUCUUACUCUCUUGGUGGCUGCAUCUGAGAAGCUCUGUUAUUGUUAUUCUUUUCUUAGUUUUAACACUAUGAUUUAUACAUGUGAGACUUUUUCUUGUUUCUAAGAGAUUAUAUUGGAUUUGGUGUUUUAUUUUUUGGUUCUUCGUAGGCAUAUAAGCUCACCAUUCCGUUUCUGUGCAAUUAUAAUAGAUCAUCAAUUUCAUGUGCCUAAAACUUCAUGGAAUCUUUUAGGCUCAGGCCAGUUUGCCUCGGUUUCCCUUCCCUAAAUAAUGAAGACUAUUAAUUUCUAGCAUGAUGUGCUCGUUCUCUAAUUUGAGUUAUGAUGCCAAUAUCUUUCUGGCAACAUGUUGCCAUAAUUCGGCUGGUCCGCCAUUUCUGUAUGCCCACUGCCAAAAUUCAGGGUUUCUGUCAACGGGCAAUUAUUAGAGAUCUAGCAAUUCUUUAGACGAAGACUCGAGGAGGAAAUAAGCUUUAUGUGAUGAACUGUCCUUUUUGGGGGUAUUCAUUGCAACUGUAAGUAGCUGCUGGUCUUCUGCUUUUGGAGCAAUACAAGGUGUAGUGGAUGUUGAUGGAAGUGGCAGUGUGGCACACUUUUCCCUUUCAUUCUCUACCACUCCAUCAUUUACCUCUACCACCAACUUUCCCAUUACACCUUUGUGCUCCUUACUCCUUAGAACCGCGGUCUUCUUGUUCCUUCAGGGAGUGAAUUGGGCCCAGAUUAGCUGGCGUCCUUUCCAACUGAGCUCAUGGCUAUGGAUGGAUAGCGUAGUUUCUCUUUAAUUCGACCUGUGAGCAAAAUAUAGGUCUAGGCAUCUAGUUAGUACCUUCACUGAAAAAUUGAUUCAAACAUGUAUUCAAACCACAAAGGAACAAUUGUCUGGAAAAUUUCAACUGAAUGCACUCUGGAGUCUGGACUCUGUGUUGGUUAAAAUGGUUACUUGAAAGUCCUGUGAAUAUACCAGGUAUCAUGGCCCUUUCCCUGUGUGUAGUAGUAACAUAUCACUGGCCAUGUUUCGAGUGCAUGAGUCUUCCCGGUCAAAUUGUUGCUUUUGAAAUUCUUGCUUUUUAAAUUAUCAUUUUGUUGGGUCAAACUUUCAAAGCUUCAUAAAAGUCCAAGGCUCCAAGCCCAUGAAGUGCUUAUGAUUUCCAUUUUGUUAAUGUGGUCUCUUAUAUAACCUUUAUGUGGGGUCAACAACAUUACUGUAAGUCUUAGCUUUUACAAUACUCUUGAAGCGUUGUCCAAUUAUAUCAUGAUUCCCUUGGGAUUGUGCGCCCAGCAGGAAGGUUAUGUGCUUCGAUUAGGCAAUUAUUUAUUGUUUAUUAUCUUAAAAUACUUCUGCGGAUGAAAAUUUUGCUUCUAAUUUUUAAAUAUCUUUUUGUUGACUUGUAUGCUUAACAUCUUUCCCUCCUGCUCACUUUUUUCUCCAAAUAGGAUUCUGUACCAAUAGGCAUCCCCAUGGCAUCAGUUACUUAUAUUGAUGAUAGCCAUGCUGAGGUUAUUGAUCCUCCAAAGAAUGAGGAGAUGUUGGAUGUCACUGAACUUGUUGGUGAACAUAUCCAGCAUUCACCGAAACCAAAUGUGACAAGUUAUGGCAAUGUGCGUGAGCUACUGGAAUGCCCUGUGUGUUUGAGUGCCAUGUAUCCUCCAAUUCAUCAGGUACAACUCUCACUCAACUUCAAUUACAUUUUGUUAGCAUUUACUUGUAAUAUUCUGUAUUUGUUCUAGGCUUUUAACAUGCCAUGUGUAUGUCAGUACAUAUGACUAUUGGGAAUUUGUAGCUUAGGCAGAGUUGAGAUUUUGAGGAUAUGCUCUCCUUUCGAAUUACAUUUUACAAAGCAAACAUUAGCCAGUUAGUCACUGUUUGAAAUAAAGCGUAGACACUGCCGUUUCCCAUUUUCAUUUUUCACAUUGUCUGUGAUAUGACGUAUACAUCUUUUCAAAUGUCUUUUUGGAGGAACUGAUAUUUUGUAGGGUCCAGUAUAUUAGAGCUUAUCUGCAAAUUCUUAAGCCUGAAUAGGAGGUUGAAUUUGUAUGUUUGUUCUUUAAGAAUGUUUUCAAAUGUGUUUGUGCAGUGCUCCAACGGACAUACUCUGUGUUCUGGAUGCAAGCCAAGGGUUCAUAAUCGUUGCCCAACAUGCAGGCAUGAACUGGGUAACAUAAGAUGUCUUGCUCUGGAAAAGGUGGCUGCAUCACUAGAGCUUCCAUGCAAGUACCAGAACUUUGGGUGCUUGGGCAUAUACCCUUACUAUUGCAAGCUGAAACAUGAAUCACAAUGCCAAUACAGACCCUAUACUUGUCCAUAUGCUGGAUCUGAAUGCACAGUUGCUGGUGACAUUCCAUAUCUAGUAAAUCACUUGAAAGAUGACCACAAGGUUGACAUGCACAAUGGAAGCACUUUCAAUCAUCGUUAUGUUAAAUCAAAUCCUCAUGAAGUUGAGAAUGCCACCUGGAUGCUCACGGUAAUGCUCUCAAAUCUCUCUAAUUUACGAUCCUGUCAUGAAGUUCAUGUUUUUGCAUUUUUUUUACAUGUACUGAUUGACCUGGAUCUUUCUCGGUAUAAGUUCAUGUCACUAGGAUGCCAUAAUUUUUAACAUGAGAUCUUUACCGAUCUCAAUCUCUUGGGUAACUUUGUAUAUAUAGGUUCCUAUGAUCUGGUUUUAGCAUUAAAUUUGUUUCCUUUUUUAUUGUUAACCAAGCGCACAUUUAUAAGCACGCUAGUCAAAAUGCUCACUACCCAAGCAAGUGCAUGCUUGCCAUCAUCAACUCUAUCACUCAUGAUACUCACCACUGACAGAAAGUGAAUGCUUGCCAUCAUUAGCUCAUCGCUUGUUUGGGUAGGAGAAUAUGGUUCUACAACCUUUCAAAGCCUGUCUUGUGUUGUGGUUUCGUUUUCCAUGGUAACCCGUAUGCCUUAGCUAAUCACAGAAUCAUCCUCCAGGUUUUCAGCUGCUUCGGCCAGUACUUCUGUCUGCACUUCGAGGCAUUCCAGCUGGGCAUGGCACCUGUCUACAUUGCCUUCCUCCGGUUCAUGGGCGACGACGCUGAAGCUAAGAACUACAGCUACAGCCUUGAAGUUGGAGGCAGUGGCCGUAAGAUGACAUGGCAAGGCGUCCCUCGGAGCAUCAGAGACAGCCACAGGAAAGUCCGGGACAGCUAUGACGGGCUCAUCAUCCAGAGGAACAUGGCCUUGUUCUUCUCGGGUGGCGACAGGAAGGAGCUCAAGCUGCGGGUCACCGGGAGGAUCUGGAAGGAGCAGUAGCGAACUGCAAGAGCUAAAUGCAUUGAGUUGCUCUGCUUGGUGCCCAUGCAUGAAACAUGGAUCCAUGAUGAAUCAGAAGUUCAGAACUGAUGUCUAAGGGAAUCGUAGCUGUCAGAACUUAGGACAUGGUAAUAUCGUAGACUGCAUUAGUAGCAGGUAGUUGGGAUCUAUUAUUUGUGGAUGGUUAACUUAUGGUGCUGAUGUAGUAGAACCAAAGGCAAGUCUCUCUUUGCUUUGAACCUCUCUGGAGUCUAGAGUGAAAUGUAAAUGAUGUAGCUGGGUUUUUUUUUCUCUCUGUAUGGGACUCGUUCUAUGCCAGACCCACCAUUGUCUCUGGAUUCUGGAGAUGAACUAGCAGUAAUAAAUCUGCAGCAGCUAAGUUUUUCGUGUUGAUGAGAUCAGAGUGCAGGAUUGAACUGUUGAAGGAUGAUCGAUCGUGCACGUUGGGUGAGAUUCAGACGCUGCGCAAUCUGGAAUCGGAGUUGUUUGCUUAGAGGCCACUCACUGAUGAGCCCCGUCAGAUGUAACAGAAGCAGAGCUUGAGCAUGAGCCCCGUCAGAAGUACCCCGGGAACUGGGAGCGGUGGGUCAACGUGGCAACAUGGCCACAUCUAACUAUGAACAUGUGGAGGAGGAAGACACAUGGCCUCGUGAACAGACACUGAAACUUUUUCAUGGAACCGUGCGUGUGACGCCGAUGCGGACUCGGAUUCCAGCAGGCUCCCUGAGCCAUCGCGCUGCUGUCCCCGGGAAACGGAGCCACGAGGCCGUCCGGUCCGGUCGCGGUCGCCGUGCGCGCCCGGCAGGCCGAGGCCGCCGGGUACGCGACCGGCGAGCGGAAAAAUGCCCGUGUCGACGGCCACGGGGCAAACGGGAACACGCGCGCUCUCGGCUCGAGCCAUCUGGGGCGGAGUUCGUGCUGAACUGAACCAGAACAAGCAUAACGAAAGACAAAUGCAGCUACAAACAGCCGUGGAUUAUCGACGAACUUGAUCAGAUAUGCUGUUGACCUGUAGAUGGGAUAAUUUGAGACUGAACAGAGCUGCUAUCCUCGCCUUUCCUUUGAUCAUCACAAAACAAAUCAUAUGACCGCGUGCGAGUGGAUUUUGAGUUCCAUCACAUCAUGUGAGGAUUAUGCAUUACCAAUUCCACAGGCUUCAACAUUUCAAGACAAAAGUAACCACCGAAUAUGUCGAUAUAAAAAUCACAUCAUUUUCUCACAAGUUUGUAUUUGCAAAUCAGAGCAUAACAAUAAACAUUUUUUUUUAUAUAGGAGGGGGUGGGGGAACUCCCCUCUGAAUUUCGUUCUUCCGACCUUUGGCAGGUCAAUAAAACAGUUGCCUUAGAUGAUUUUCAGCAGGAUAUGAAAACAAGUCCGAAGCACCUACGGAGUAGUAUAACAUAACAUCGAACCUUAUGUUCCCUGAAAGCAUAGUAAUGGAUUUAAUCCUCUCUUUUUUUCAGUUCCAGUGGCCAUUGGCCAAUAGUCAAAGAACAUUCAGAUUUGCAUUGCACAACAUAGCCAGAUAACUGAUUUUGUACUGAGUAUUCUCCUUAUUACAUGUUCUCUUCAGUGCUUAUCAUGUUAACAAACUACCUUCUUCAGGUUCAGGGAGGGUCCAAUAAACUCCAGUUGCGUCAAUCAACAAGUUCUUCUGAAUGAAUUGAUAAAAGAAUCCUAAUGAUUUCAUGUCUGAGCUCCCGCCGCAAAGUUACAUUUAUUCAAGAUUAGUGCCCUACCAUAAAAGAACCGAAAAGCUGGGCGUAUGUAAGUUAUAAAAGGAGCUGAAGGACAACAUGAUAACAGUUAAGGAGCUUUAUAUUAGUUAUUGCAAAAGAAAAAAAAAGGAGCCUUAAGUUAGUACAGUUGGGUCAAUUCCUUUGUCUAAAAAUAUACUAGUAGUUGGAUCAUUUCCAGAUUACAGUUGUUUUGAGUUGCACGCAUGUAGAGCCCAUCUACUAUUCAGAUUUCAGAAAUGAAAAUGUCUUUCUGAAAUUUUCUCAGUUCUCAGCUAAAUAGAACUUCAAAUCUCCAACUAGUUCAGCAGGAAAGAUGAGAGGAAACCAAGAGCUGGACAAGAGAUGAAGAAAUUGAGCACCCCAAAGGCAAACUUUAGUAUUUACAUUAAUCGCACUAACAGCAGUGUCAAUCUUUCAUACAUCAGAUCAGAUACAUAUACAUAGAAGCCCAGUUCUUAUUCUCCAAUCACCAUCACCAUAUGGCAAUUUUGCAGCAAGGAGUCGAGAACAAUAUGUUCUUCUCCUUCAUGAGCAAAUCCGAUCUUCAAAAUGAUCGGAUACACACAAAUCCCACGCCAUGAAACCCGAAGGCCCCUCUUCUCUUUUUGUUGAUUCUACAACCUCUAAUCCUUAAAUUAGUAGCAUGAAUGGAAUGGGAAAGAUCGCGUCUCUGUUGGUGAUCAAGAACAGCAGUUAGCGCAGCGUACCAAUCCGUUCUCGUUGCACUCGCCGCAGCGGACGACGCGGUCCUCCUCCUCGACGAAGACCUUGCGGCUGCCGCCGCAGCCGAUGCAGGGGACGAAACGGACGCCGCCGCAGGCGUCGCAGACGUAGGCCGGAUCCUGGCCCGCUGCGCCCUCGAGGAGCCGCCGGAGCUGCCCCGUCUCGUGCAGUUGCCGCACCUCGUCCGCGCCGCCGACGAGGCGGCCGCCGAUGAGCAGCUGCGGGAGCGAGAAGGCGCGGCCGCGCACGGCGAGCAACGCCUGUAGAUCCCUGCGGAAGGCGGCGUCCAUGGACACGUCCCGCUCGUCGACGGCGACGCGGAACCCCCGCAGGAUGGCGCGCACCGCGGAGCAGUCCGUGAACGUGCGCCGCACCCCGCGCAGCGACGUCGUGUAGAGGACCACCGCCUGCGGCCGCUGCGCGCGCGGCUCGUCCGCGAGCUGGCUCCGCCGCCACUUGGCCGCCGACGCCCCCGCCGGCCGGUGCCCCUGGUGGUGGUGGUACGUCAGCGACCGCGCCAACUGGAACGGCUUCUUGCCGCAGCUCCCGCCGCCGACUCCGGCCGCGACGCCGCUGCAGUCUUCCAUCUCACGCGACGACGGCGCAGCACCAGCUGCCCGCGCCGCCGUAGGAGAAGGUGAGGUCAGGUUCUUUGGCUAUGGCGGUUACCCGGACGCGAGGAAAGGGGGAAGAGGAAGACGAAGAAAGCGAGUUGUGGAAGCAAGCGAAGCGAGAAAUGGAAUUCGCCGUGGGGAAGGUGGGGUAUCGGAGGCGUAUUUAUAUUUUUUCUUGUGGUGGUGGUAAUUUUGACGGCGUUCUUGUUGGUUUUUUUUCUUGGUGUUGGUUGGGUGAUUAGCAAGGUCAUUAGGCGGUGAUUAAAUGGUAUUAGUACCAGAACUGGUGAUUAUUUGGGUGGUUAAUUAUUGUUAUUAGCUGAUUGGGAGCUGGACAUUGUUUUGGGUGAUUAGUAAUAACUAAUUACCUUUUUUCUGUUUGUUGUUGCUUAAUUUUGAAGAAAUUGUUUCUUUGGUUAGUUUUGGGUGGUUUGUUAAUCUCAGUGGGCUUUGGGUGUUGGGGUUGGACCCGUUGUAGGCAGCUGGGUGAAGUGGGCGGGCGUGACUUGCACAAACGGGCAGAGGAAGGUUCCUGAACGUCUUGCCACUCAGCUAAACGUGAGCCUGUCAUUUUCCCCGUCUUCUUUUUCUUUCCCCCUUUCUUUACGCGAACCACGAAUUUUUGUUAUACAAACAGAGUAAAAAUUGGCUACAUUAUUCUUCAUUUUGUACGAGCGACAUUUAUCAAGCGCUUUUGAAAAUAACUGGAACUGUAAUUGGGCACGGGGCACGGAAACAUUUUGACAGUUUUCAAGUACUCCCUCUGUCCCUUUUUAUCUAUCUCUAAAAAACCAUGUUUCCCUCACAAACCUUCUUCUCGAGCGACAAAUAAUAAGGAACGGAGGGAGUACAUACAUACAGGCAUGGACAUUGGGCAGACGGCUAAACCAUGUCCAAAAAUACCUCAGGUCCAUGGCAGAUGAUACUUCAACUUACCGUUAAAGUUGGAAAAAAAUCUACAUAACCCCCUCACCUAUUGCAAGAGUCUACUUGACCCUCCAAACUACAAAAUCAGAUAUUUUACCCUCUAACUUUGCAAAACCGUUUAUUUGCCCCCCUUUCCUGGUUUUACACGGUGGUUUUGCUAUGUUGGCCCGCUGAGGUGGACGUAGUUGUUGAUGUGGACCGCUAACACGUGGGUCCCACUCAUAACAUAUAAUAAAAUAAAAAAACUUUCUCUUCUCUCUAGCUAUCCAGCAUGUCGUCAUCUUCCUGGAGUUCCUCACUUCUUCUCUCUCCCCGUACAGGAACACCAGACAGCAAACAGCAACCGGCAAAAUCCGCACGUUUCCAUUCUUCUUUGCCGGCACCGGCGGUUAAAAUAGGUCUCCCUCUAAAGCCUCUAUCUAAUCCACUCAAUUUGAGGGACCCUUUGCAAAUCAAGUCAUCGGGAGCUCCAAUCCUCCGCGUUGCGUAUUUCUUCGUGUUCAAGGGUGAAUCCAUGUUUGCUGCAGCUGGGAGCUAGUCACCGCGGCCGGCAACUGCUUCGAUUCGAAUGACGUAUCCCUUCUUCCACUCCAUUCCUUUCCUGUCGCACUGACCUUCCUCCCCCAAAUCUGCUGUGAGCGCGAGCUCGUGAACGAGGGUGGACGAAGAGCAGAGCCGCAGGCAAGCAAGACGAUGAGUGAAGGGCGACCCAGUGCACCACGGCGAACUGGUGGAGUGUGGUGCUCAGAUUCGUGAAGACCGUGGCGGCCUGUGGCUCAACGGUGCCGCAGCCGGCAGGGACCUGGCGGACGGUGACGACAGCCGACGGGGAUGCGGCGGCGACACGGUGGGCGGCUGCAUGGCUUUAGGAACGCGGUGGUAUUCGGGAAAGGCGGCUUCAGCUUCGCGGGUCAGCAGCCGGCAGGUGUCCGGCUUGGGAGAUGGCGACGGCCGGCUUCCUCGGUGCCUGGAGGCUCUAGUUGCGGAAGGGAAGAAGCGUGCGCACCCUUACAAGUGGGACCCAUCUGUCGUCAGAUCCACGUCAGCAAUUCGGUCCAAACCAGCAAAGGGGUUAAAGUAAACGGUUUUGCAAAGACGAGGGGGUAAAAUACCUGGUUUUGUAGUCGAUGUGACACGUGCUAAAAAAUAAGUAAAGGGAAUCAAACGCCCCUUAAGUAGUCUGUUUGCAAUAGGUGAGGAAGUUAUGAUAGACUUUUUCCUUAAACUUGCAAGUACUACGUGUCUACAGCUUGAGAAGCAUAACAUCCCCCACACGCAUUGCAAAUGCUGGAGAGCAUAAGCUCUACAAGGGAACAAUACCAUGGUCCUGGAUCAUGGACCAACAUGGACGCAUGCAUCUUCAUAAGUUCUUGCUUUUUUGGGCCCAAAUCAUCUGGCAUCCUAGCUGUUGAUGAUCAAUGCCACUCCAUGAUCGAUUAAUGCGAUGCGUGUUAGUACUAACAUGGAUUUGAUGGCGCAUCGUUGGCGGUUGGAGCUUCAUGUCUCUCUGUGACGGGAAGUGAGUAAUGGACACACAGAAAUUUAAAUUUCAUUAUUUGGUUUACUUAAACAUAUUGAUUGUUUUUAAUAUUCAAAGCAAAACAGUGUCCAACAAUUUACAGAGGAAUACCCGAGAUCAAAAGGGGAAAAAUAGAAUAUCUGAGAUUCAGCGUGGAAGGUGUGCUACAGACAGAGUUCAGAAGGGAGCGAACUGAAAGAGCUAAGGGGGUGUUUGGAUCCUGGAGCUAAAGUUUAGUCCGUGUCACAUCGAAUAUUCGGAUGCUAAUUAGAAGGACUAAACAUGAACUAAUUACAAAAUUAAUUGCAGAACCCCUAGGCUAAAUCACGAGACGAAUCUAUUAAGCCUAAUUAAUCCAUCAUUAGUGAAUGUUUACUGUAGCAUCAUAUUGUCAAAUCAUGGACUAGAUAGGCUUAAUAGAUUCGUCUCGCGAUUUAGCCUAGGGGUUGUGAAAUUGGUUUUGCAAUUAGCCUAUGUUUAAUACUCCUAAUUAGUGUCAAACAUUCGGAGCUAAAAUUUAGCCCGGGGAUCCAAACACCCCCUAAACACACGAGCGACGAGUCGACGAUGACUGCAAAAUUGACAUAGAAUAUGCAACUGUCACCAGAUACAGAAGAUGAAUUCUUUUCUGACGAGACCUUUGGCCUGUUUGUUUUUUAUCGACUAUGGUUGAUUCGGUCGUUUCACGCGGUUUGCGCUCGUUAUACUUUUCAAAGAGCAGGAAAGUUUUGUCGCCCCCCCCCCCCCCCCCCCCCCCCCCCCCCCCCCCGCACUUACUGGAUCAGAUUCUGAACCUGCAGAAUUUUGUAACAGCACUAAGGAUUCCUGAAUUCACUUGUUUUUGUUAAGCUGUCCAUCACACUGGGUAAAACUCGACCAACACGCAUAAUGCCAUAGUCAAACGUAAGAUGCCUGAGAAGCCCUGACGUAAGCUCAUAUAUCACUGUCCGUUGGGAAUAGCCUUGACAUUGUGAGCACUUUUCAUCCAUAGAUCCAUUACCAUCUUGUAUUUGGAGGUAAAAACAAGUGUUCCAUUUUCGGUUAGGAAAAAUGCAGCAAUAAGAGUGUACCUUUUACUGCUCACGGAAAGAGGCCUUUUUCAACCAUUACCAUCUUGCAUUGUGAAGCAAAAAGUGCUCAUUUUUGUUUUUUUGAGAGGAAAAAAGUGUUUAAUUUGAUCCAUGGUACUAGCAUUCCAUUGAAAAUGAAGACCGGACCUUUUAAUCUCACAAAGAUGACUUUUGCAACAAGAAUAACAGAUUUUACAUCAACGAGUGAAAAAUUCAAUGACAACAGUCACUAAUCGUUGUGCAGAGCACACAAACAUGUUUCCAUGUCAAUGGAAGGGACUAAAUUCUGAAAAGUUCUUUCAAGAUCCUCUACGUCUUUAUCCAAUUCCAGACAGAAAGCAAGAAAGGCGGCAAAAACAUUCCGUCCUGCAACGAGAAGAAAAUGCUUACGAAAGGAGUAAGCUAGGGGUUUGGCACAAAUUGGAGUUUGCCUUGUGAGCAAAGCUACAGGAACCGAAAGUUAUUUGAACCAAGAGGGCAUCAAUAGCAACACGAAAGAUGCAGGUAAUGUGUCAUUUCAGAUCAAGUGGUAGGUUAUGCAGCUAAAGCGAAUAUGCUUUCUUUUCACUAGUCUUCAGACUCAAGUUACCAUUACAUGGCAGUGUGCCGUCUCUAUGAUUAUUCUUGCAGACUAUGACUGUUCUUCUCAUGUUAUUCAGAUGCAAAAUUGCAACCUGCUGAACCUACUAAUGAGUACGAGUGAUGUGAUAUUCAGAUACCAUGCAUAUAUCUGCUACCAACAAACAAUUCGACAGUGUCACACAAGUCUUGUACGUCUGCAGGCUAACCGAUUCAGAGAGAUAAUCUGAUAAGGAAAUCUAAUCUGCUCUUAGGCUGCUGUUUUUUCAGAGAAAGAUGAGCCAUCAGCUAUCAACUUACCAUCAGCCGGUCCCGGAUAAAGUGCUGAAAGAACAUGCCAAUGAUUACUCGAAGGCAAUCACAAUUUUCAGACCAACGUGCCACAACAAGUUACCAGCAACGGCGUCUAUAAGCGAUGAACAUUCUCGCGGCACAUCAAUCAGUUGAGCCAUGCUCUUCCAUACCUCUCCGUCGAACUGUUUCCUCAGGAUCAUGGGCCAUGGUGCUCCAUGCCUGCCUGCCUUGUUGCAAUGCUUGUUUGGUCGCCAUCAGUUCAUGAGUCGUCAACGUCUUGAUACCGACAUCGGUCAAAAUGCUACCUUCCUUCUCGAUCAUGCCUCGCUGCUUGUACAAUGCAUAUGGCCAUUGCUGAUCCAUAUGGAUCAUAUCGAGCCCUGCCUGCUGCACAAGCAGUUCUGUGACCUUCCUUCUCGACGCGGGCAACAAACAGAUGACAGUGACGAGUCAUGGUCCUGGAGAUAGGAAGGGCCUGGAUGGGGAGCGAUCGCUGUUCCAUUGCAGGAAUUGCCCAAUGGCCAAUGAACAGCAAGGCACUUCAGAAUUCAGAUCCAGAUGAUUAUCGGAUUCAUUUUCAGAUUCUGUGCUUCCAAAGUUCAAAUAUCUCGCAGCCGCUGCAUCUGAUUGCUGCAUCCUGCAAUAACCAGAGAGGCAGGAGGAAUCGAGCUGCCUGCCCGCAGGUCGUCGCUGUCCUCUCAUACUCCAGCGCGGCCGCCAACGCGAGGCGCCGAGGCAGGACCUUGUAGGAAGCACGGAGAUAGUUCAAGCGCUGGGUGGUGCGUGUUUGUGCGGUGUUCAGAUCCGGCGCGGAGCAAUGGCGACGGCGGAGGCGUAUGCCUCCCCGUCGGUGUCCCCGGGCGCCUCGUCACAGACACCCUCCGCCGAGGCUGGUGAAGAUCUUGGAGCGCCCUUGUGCCGAAUGGGUAACAAUACAAAAGGUGCGGAGGCGGCGGAAGCCUCCGGGCUUGCCGUCGUCUCGCCGGGCGGCGGCCGCAAACGACCGGAGGAGGAACGCCGGUGAGAUCAGGAGAUCUCGCGGCUUAAACAGGACCGCGGUCAAAAGUUUUUGCAAACCAGCCCCUCGUUUGGAUCGCGACUAUUUUCUGCGAUCCAAAUAUUUACAAAUACCUUCUAACUUGGAUCGUGACUAUUCUCUGCGAUCCAAAAUUUACAAAUAACCCCCUAUUUAGAAUCGUGAUUAUUCUCUGCGAUCCAACUUAUUUUCAAAAUAGCCCCUUUUUUCAUUUUCGUUUCGGCUGUUAGCGUCCCUCGCUCUUCCAUUGCUAUGGAUUUGCCGCCACCGGUGACAUGGGUUUGCCGGAGACCCGCAGCCGGUGGUGCAUUCGAAUAUCUCAGUCUCGAUUCCGCUCAUAUUUUCUAUCCCCAUUCUCCUCUUUUUUUAUGAAACAAGAGGGGAGGUACCCUGUUGAUUAUAUAUAAAAAAAUUUAAAAGAGUACAAAUUACAAAGGUUCAAAUCAUGAAACCCAGAAGGUGUGAAAGAAAAUAAGAAAGAUUACAAUGUGUGCUCUAGCCAUUGAGAUAUGGGUUCUUUCCAGGCUUCCUUUACUCUAUGAACAACUGGAGCGUAGACUGAUUUGAAUCGAAAUGUGGUUCCUUGAAUUGUUGGAGAGAUGUUCUUGAAAAUCCAAUCAUUUUUAACCAUCCAAAUGCUCCAACACAUGAUGAUUAUAAUUUCCAUGAAAAAAAGGAACUUGCAGUUGAGCUCUGAAGCUUUCCAAAAUGGAGUACGGCUCAAGUUGCAGAUCAGGAAAUAAAUUUAUUUGUAUCCAGCACUCCUGUGCAAAGGGACAUGCUAGUAGAAGAUGAAAAAGAGUUUCUUCACUGUCAUUGUCACGGGGACAUAACACACAGACAUAAGAUGGCAAGGUCAUGUGUUUUCUUCGGAGGACAUCACGUGUGCUAAGCCUGUCCUUUAACAGCCAGAAAAACACUUUGUGCUUAUUUUGACACCUUGAUUUCCAAAGCCAAUUAAAAACCUGAUGAACCUUAAGAUAUUUAUAAGCCUUAGAUGAGGAGAACAAUGCAUUUCCCCAUAUGUAUGUCCAAGUAUCUGAAUCAUCAUCAGAGAGGGGCAAAUCUUCUAGGUCAGCAGCUAGCUGAAAUAGCUGAUUGAAAGCUUGAGAGGGCAGUGGUUGUUGUAAAUCCUCAAUUUGAUAUGCUCUUUGAAGUGUGAUGUCCCUCUUCCUGGUGAAUGAAAAAAAGUUGUGGAUAGACUUGUGCUGGAAUCUGUAAUUUCUAUUGGUCAUACCAUAGUAAGCAUGUACUGCCAUCCUUGACUGUAACUGUUGUAGGACCCUUAAAUUUAUCCAGCAAUUUGAAAAAUGUCCUUCUACCAGAAAGAGCCUUUUUUUAACCUGACCUGGUAGCUUGCCAUUAGCAUAGAUUUUUCCCAUACAAGUUAACCAUACAAGUUAACCCAAGGAAUAUCUGCUUUAUUGAAGAAUUUAUGCAGAUAUUUAAGAAGUAAGGCUUCAUUUUGUGUUUUGAGAUUAAGGACACCUAGACCACCUUCUUUCUUUGGGAGAAUGACCAUCUCCCAAGCAGCUUUGGGUGGCUUCUUAUUAUUAAUAUCAGAUCCCCUCCAAAAAUAAUAUUUUUUGUAUUUAUCCACCUAUUUGUAAACUGUUUUUGGUAGCAAAAAUGUGCACAUGUGGAACAUCGGCAAAGCAGUGAGAAUGGAGUUGGUCAAUUGAAGCCUCCCUACCAGGAAAUUUGAAGUUGACAGUAAUCUCCUUUCUGGACACCAUAAGAAUGAAUUCUUGAAUUCUUGGUUUUGACAGACCUAAAGGCAGCCCCAAAUAAGUGAAGGUACUGUGCCAAUUGAGUAUCCGAACAGUUGAGAGAGAUUUUAUCCGCCGCUUGAGGUAAAGACCGCGUCCAAAUUCAGUUUGCCGGAUUGGGAUUGGGAAUUGUCAGGUUCUGAUGUGGCCUAGGCCUGCUUAUCACGGAUCUUUGCUUGCCGCUUGCGUCUGUUGAGGUGAGAUGCAUCAAGCCAUGAGGGUUCGAAUUGGAAGAUUGUGUCCUGUGAGAUGCAUGUUUUGGGAGUGACAAUCUGACAGCGAAAUUGUAACCUGCUUCCCGCGCCUGCUCUCAUCAGCCGGUCCCCAUGAUCGAUUUGAGUUUACAAGAGAAUCAGCAUAGCAAAGUGCGGCGGCGGCGAGGAGGGGCUGCCGCGCCAGCGCACGAAACCCUGGUUCAUCCUGCUCAGUUCUGUAAUGCCCGGUCGCCUCCGCGUCGGAGUAUCCUGUAACCCAACUCCUAAUAACCUAUUCACGAUUUUUUGUUUUUCCUUUUUACUAGUACUUCAGAAUUACAAUUAUUUUGGAACUCAAAUUCCUACAAACGAACUCCACCUAGCAAGCAGCUUGCAGCUCUCUGCUCUCAAGCCUGUGACCAAGGACGCCCAGCUCCCAUUGCACAAGAACAAGAUAGAAUCUGGAGGAAAAGGAGAGGGAGAACAGGAUAAUACUGAGUGUGGACUCUCUGCAACGCCCCCGUUUGAAAGAAUAGAAAGAAUGAAAGAUAUACAAGAACAUACACUAGCUAUGCAAAUUUAUCCAAUCUUGUCUCAUCUUAGGAGGGAUGCAUAUGCUAGAGAAUAGACCCUGUGCAUCGUGUAGAAAAAUUCGUACUGGAUUACCGAUGUACAGGAACAUGUGAGUACGCACGCAAAAUUGACUGGCGAUCUGGUUCAAGAUGAAUCACUCCGACGACACGGAUGAGCGAGCGCUCCUGAGGGCGCGCGCGACGUCGUAGGCGAUGGCGAGGAAGGAUGAGACCCAGCCGCCGAGCAUCGCCAACACCAUCUCCGCCAGGGACACCUCCACCCUCCAUGGCACCAUCGACAACCAGCUUGCGCAACGGCCAACGGCAACUGCUCUCUCUGCAGCCAAUCCGAUGGAAAGAGGCGAUAAACCGA